CCCUUAGAUGCUCUGGGCCGCACGCGCGCUACACUGGUCGAUGCAACGAGUUUCUUUCCUUGGCCGACAGGCCUGGGCAAUCUUUGAACAUCGAUCGUGAUCGGGAUAGAUUCUUGUAAUUUUUGAUCUUAAACGAGGAAUUCCUAGUAAACGCAAGUCAUCAGCUUGCAUUGAUUACGUCCCUGCCCUUUGUACACACCGCCCGUCGCACCUACCGAUUGAAUGGUCCGGUGAAAUCUCGGGACGGCGGCUUGGUCGCUUGCGUCCGACUGCUGAAACUUGAUUAAACCAUNUNAUUUAGNGGAAGGUGAANUCGUANCA
RNAcentral lists this ribosomal RNA (321 nucleotides) under uncultured eukaryote. RNAcentral's name for it is "partial 18S ribosomal RNA". It matches the Rfam family "Eukaryotic small subunit ribosomal RNA", at positions 1470 to 1796 of the family's 1831-position model. The record is from RNAcentral.